Molecule: long non-coding RNA, 688 nt
Filed under: Trifolium pratense (red clover)
Lineage: Eukaryota; Viridiplantae; Streptophyta; Magnoliopsida; Fabales; Fabaceae
Description: long non-coding RNA (TPRA_LNC005527)
Source: RNAcentral
GUGUCUAAAAAAUGGUCUCAAAUGCUCAAUAUAAAAUUAGCUGCUGCAUAACUAUUUUCUAUGAAGCUAAAUAAAAUAUGAUAGUUAUCUAAAUCUCAAUUGGUACACAAAAAAAUAAAAUAUGUGAUUUGUAGCCAAACAUCUUCCAAUUAGUGUGGAUAAUCAUAUAUCAGUUGUUUGCCUUGUUUCGAUCCCAAGAUGUCAAGCCAUCACCAUGUAAGCUAAAUUCCUAUACCACAAAAAAUAUAAUACUGAUUAGAAAACUUUGGUUGUAGUUGUAGUGAGUAGUGAUAAUGAUAAAGCAUUGAGUGAGUGAUGAAAAUACCGACCGAAGGACUCGGUUGAAGCUCUGCAGAUGGUGCCUCAAGCUCUACAUUUGUUGAGUUAAGCAUAAGACUUUGACUUAGAUGUUCUUGCCCUUCAUAAGCAUAAGUAGAAAAACCAAAUUCUUCCAUGUGUUCUCCAUUUUCCUUAUCCUUGUCAUUAGACUAGAUUUGAAAGGGAUUUGAGUAUGACACACACAUAAAACUGAACAGAAAAACAAAAAACAAAAUAUGCCAAGUACAAAAAUGACAAACAAAUAAAUUGUGCAGUGACUAAUCUAACCUGUGUUGUAUUGAUACCAGCUGCUACUAGAUCUUGAUAUCUAUGUGAAAAUGGAAAAUUCUGCACAUAAAAUCAAAAGAAA